Molecule: ribosomal RNA, 454 nt
Filed under: uncultured bacterium
Lineage: Bacteria
Description: partial 16S ribosomal RNA
Rfam family: Bacterial small subunit ribosomal RNA
Source: RNAcentral
ACGGAAGGCAGCAGUGAGGAAUAUUGGUCAAUGGGCGUAAGCCUGAACCAGCCAAGUAGCGUGAGGGAUGACUGCCCUACGGGUUGUAAACCUCUUUUGUUUGGGAAUAAAGUAGACUACGUGUAGUCUUUUGCAUGUACCUUUCGAAUAAGCAUCGGCUAAUUCCGUGCCAGCAGCCGCGGUAAUACGGAAGAUGCGAGCGUUAUCCGGAUUUAUUGGGUUUAAAGGGUGCGCAGGCGGCACGUUAAGUCAGCGGUGAAAUGCAGGGGCUCAACCCCGGCACUGCCGUUGAAACUGGCGAGCUCGAGUACGGAUGAAGUCGGCGGAAUGUGAUGUGUAGCGGUGAAAUGCUUAGAUAUGUCACAGAACACCGAUUGCGAAGGCAGCUGACUAAUCCGCAACUGACGCUCAGGCACGAAAGCGUGGGGAUCGAACAGGAUUAGAUACCCUGGUA